UUAAGUUCAGCGGGUAGUCCCGCCUGAUCUGAGGUCAGAUUGUCAUUGAAAUGAAAUUUCUUUUGUCUCUUUCACAAGACCAUUAGAAGCUGGUCAAAAACGCUUCACAACUACGGCGUAGACAAUUAUCACACCGAAAAGCUGAUCCGCAAAGGACGCUAGCUAAUGCAUUUGAGAGGAGCCAACGUAAAUAAAAACAU
RNAcentral lists this unclassified non-coding RNA (200 nucleotides) under Polyporales sp. Its description in RNAcentral is "partial internal transcribed spacer 2". Lineage: Eukaryota; Fungi; Basidiomycota; Agaricomycetes; Polyporales. The record is from RNAcentral.